GUAGGUGAACCUGCGGAAGGAUCAUUACACUCAGUAGUUUACUACUGUAAAGGAGGCUGUUAGUCUGUAUAGCGCAAGCUGAUGAGCAGCUAGUCUCUUUUAUCCACCCUUGUCUUUUGCGUACCCACGUUUCCUCGGCAGGCUUGCCUGCCGAUUGGACAAACCUACAACCUUUUUAAUUUUCAAUCAGCGUCUGAAAAACUUAAUAAUUACAACUUUCAACAACGGAUCUCUUGGUUCUG
This 242-nucleotide unclassified non-coding RNA is filed under the name rhizosphere metagenome. RNAcentral's name for it is "partial ribosomal RNA internal transcribed spacer region". The record is from RNAcentral.